GCAUUUUCGAGCCAAAAGUGCGAAGCGCCUACGCGGGGAAAUCAGUCCACUGGACUGAUUUCUGAUCCCGCUUCGAUGCGUCGGAUAAUGCGUGAAAACAAAUAGAUAGAGCGGUUCCGACGAUUCCGUUUAAACCGGAACCGCUCUAGUCAAUAGGAACGAACCACUCUGAAUACGUGAUUAUCCCUUCGGUG
Molecule: unclassified non-coding RNA, 194 nt
Filed under: Brucella sp. 191011898
Lineage: Bacteria; Pseudomonadati; Pseudomonadota; Alphaproteobacteria; Hyphomicrobiales; Brucellaceae
Description: BASRCI153
Source: RNAcentral